Molecule: ribosomal RNA, 315 nt
Filed under: uncultured bacterium
Lineage: Bacteria
Description: partial 16S ribosomal RNA
Rfam family: Bacterial small subunit ribosomal RNA
Source: RNAcentral
GAUGAACGCUAGCGGCAGGCUUAACACAUGCAAGUCGAGGGGCAGCAUAAACAUUGCUUGCAAUGUUUGGUGGCGACCGGCGCACGGGUGCGUAACGCGUAUGCAACCUACCCAUAACAGGGGGGAUAACACUGAGAAAUUGGUACUAAUACCCCGUAAUAUCAGGAAAGGCAUCUUUUUUGGUUGAAAGUUCCGGCGGUUAUGGAUGGGCAUGCGUUGUAUUAGCUAGUUGGUGAGGUAACGGCUCACCAAGGCGACGAUACAUAGGGGGACUGAGAGGUUAACCCCCCACAUUGGUACUGAGACACGGACCAA